This is a long non-coding RNA of Oreochromis aureus, 524 nucleotides long. RefSeq lists it as uncharacterized. Lineage: Eukaryota; Metazoa; Chordata; Actinopteri; Cichliformes; Cichlidae. The transcript has 4 exons. The record is from RefSeq and is a predicted model, not a curated record.
UUUUUAGGAAGUAGAAUUUGAAUGCAGGUGACCUCAAAUGUAAAAGCCUACAAAUGUAUCAUUCAAGUUAACUGAAUCUUUUUGAAUACAGAGAGUGAUGCAGUAUUGACUGAUGCUGAUUUGAGUUGUCUGAUUCUGUAUUUUUGUUCUUGUUUUGUUACACAGAUUGAAAUAGAACCCUGGUUUUGCUGUUGCUGACUUCUGGUUCACUUCUGGGACCUUUUGAAGUGGAGUCAACUUUGGAUACCAUGGAAACCAUCAGUGCAUCUCUCAGAGUUCAAUGAAGAGGACCAUUAAGAAGGAGCUCAAAAAACCUUCCUCACAUGCCAAGGAGUUGAUUCACUGAUGGAGGAAUUUGUUCAGCAGAGUAACGCCAGCAGCCAAAUGCUGACAGUGGCAGAGAUACAGACCUGCAACAUCCCAAAAAGACCUCACAAUCAGAAGGGGGUAGAUGUUAUGGAAGGACAGAUGGAUCUUCCCAGGCAAGAUGACAGCAAACUAUUCCUCUGUGAGCUGUGUGGGAA